AGCAGCCGCGGUAAUUCCAGCUCCAAUAGCGUAUAUUAAAGUUGUUGCAGUUAAAAAGCUCGUAGUUGAAUUUCGGGAUCGACGGGUCGGUCGCGCCUCUGGUGUGUACUGGCCCUGUCGGUUUCUCCCUUCUGACGAACCACGAUGUCAUUAAUUUGGUGUCGUGGGGAAUCAGGACUGUUACUUUGAAAAAUUAGAGUGUUUAAAGCAAGCAUUCGCUUGAAUACAUUAGCAUGGAAUAAUGAAAUAGGACGUUUGAUCUUAUUUUGUUGGUUUCUAAGAUCGACGUAAUGAUUAAUAGGGAUAGUUGGGGGCAUUAGUAUUCAAUUGUCAGAGGUGAAAUUCUUGGAUUUAUUGAAGACUAACUACUGCGAAAGCAUUUGCCAAGGAUGUUUUCAUUAAUACAAGAACGAAAGUUAGGGGAUCGAAGACGAUCAGAUACCGUCGUAG
This 450-nucleotide ribosomal RNA is filed under the name uncultured Glomeromycotina. Its description in RNAcentral is "SSU rRNA". It matches the Rfam family "Eukaryotic small subunit ribosomal RNA", at positions 569 to 1023 of the family's 1831-position model. Lineage: Eukaryota; Fungi; Glomeromycota. The record is from RNAcentral.